AGAGUUUGAUCCUGGCUCAGGAUGAACGCUAGCGGCAGGCUUAACACAUGCAAGUCGAGGGGCAGCGCGGGAUAGCAAUAUUCUGGCGGCGACCGGCGGAAGGGUGCGUAACGCGUGAGCGACAUGCCCGUUGCCCGGGGACAACCGGUGGAAACGCCGACUAAUCCCCGAUGGGAUACGAUGCUUCAUGGCAUUGUAUUGAAAGUUACGGCGGCGACGGAUUGGCUCGCGUCCGAUUAGCUUGUUGGCGGGGUAACGGCCCACCAAGGCGACGAUCGGUAGGGGUUCUGAGAGGAAGGUCCCCCACAAUGGAACUGAGACACGGUCCAUACUCCUACGGGAGGCAGCAGUGAGGAAUAUUGGUCAAUGGGCGGAAGCCUGAACCAGCCAUGCCGCGUGCGGGAAGACGGCCCUAUGGGCUGUAAACCGCUUUUGCCUGGGGGCAAUAAGGGCGCCGAGCGCGUCCGAUGAGAGUACCAGGCGAAUAAGCAUCGGCUAACUCCGUGCCAGCAGCCGCGGUAAUACGGGGGAUGCGAGCGUUAUCCGGAUUCAUUGGGUUUAAAGGGUGCGUAGGCUGUGCGUCAAGUCAGGGGUGAAAUUCCGGUGCUCAACGCCGGGGCUGCCCUUGAUACUGUCGCGCUGGAGUGCGGAUGCCGCCGGAGGAAUGAGUGGUGUAGCGGUGAAAUGCUUAGAUAUCACGAAGAACUCCGAUUGCGAAGGCAGCCUACUAAACUGCCACUGACAUUGAUGCUCGAAAGUGUGGGUAUCAAACAGGAUUAGAUACCCUGGUAGUCCACACGGUAAACGAUGAAUACUCGCUGUUUGCGAUAUACAGCAAGCGGCCAAGCGAAAGCGUUAAGUAUUCCACCUGGGGAGUACGCCGGCAACGGUGAAACUCAAAGGAAUUGACGGGGGCCCGCACAAGCGGAGGAACAUGUGGUUUAAUUCGAUGAUACGCGAGGAACCUUACCCGGGCUUGAAUUGCACUCGAAUAUAGCGGAAACGUUAUAGCUAGCAAUAGCGAGUGUGAAGGUGCUGCAUGGUUGUCGUCAGCUCGUGCCGUGAGGUGUCGGCUUAAGUGCCAUAACGAGCGCAACCCUUGUCUAUAGUUACUAACAGGUCAUGCUGAGGACUCUAUGGAGACCGCCAUCGUAAGAUGUGAGGAAGGUGGGGAUGACGUCAAAUCAGCACGGCCCUUACGUCCGGGGCCACACACGUGUUACAAUGGGGGGUACAGAGGGCCGCUACCACGCAAGUGGAUGCCAAUCCCGAAAGCCUCUCUCAGUUCGGACUGGAGUCUGCAACCCGACUCCACGAAGCUGGAUUCGCUAGUAAUCGCGCAUCAGCCAUGGCGCGGUGAAUACGUUCCCGGGCCUUGCACACACCGCCCGUCAAG
RNAcentral lists this ribosomal RNA (1396 nucleotides) under uncultured bacterium. RNAcentral's name for it is "bacterial SSU rRNA". It matches the Rfam family "Bacterial small subunit ribosomal RNA". The record is from RNAcentral.